UUACGUACUUCAGUAGGAUUUGUUGACAUGGUAUGUCCGGUGUUAUGUGCUCAUAGUAAUGUCUUACGUACUUCAGCAGGAUUUGUUGACAUGGUAUGUCCGGUGUUAUGUGCUCAUAGUAAUGUCUUACGUACUUCAGGAGGAUUUGUUGACAUGGUAUGUCCGGUGUUAUGUGCUCAUAGUAAUGUCUUACGUACUUCAGUAGGAUUUGUUGACAUGGUAUGUCCGGUGUUAUGUGCUCAUAGUAAUGUCUUACGUACUUCAGUAGGAUUUGUUGACAUGGUAUGUCCGGUGUUAUGUGCUCAUAGUAAUGUCUUACGUAUUUCAGUAGGAUUUGUUGACAUGGUAUGUCCGGUGUUAUGUGCUCAUAGUAAUGUCUUACGUACUUCAGUAGGACUUGUUGACAUGGUAUGUCCGGUGUUAUGUGCUCAUAGUAAUGUCUUACGUACUUCAGUAGGACUUGUUGACAUGGUAUGUCCGGUGUUAUGUGCUCAUAGUAAUGUCUUACGUACUUCAGUAGGACUUGUUGACAUGGUAUGUCCGGUGUUAGGUGCUCAUAGUGAUGUCUUACGUACUUCAGUAGGAUUUGUUGACAUGGUAUGUCCGGUGUUAUGUGCUCAUAGUGAUGUCUUACGUACUUCAGUAGGAUUUGUUGACAUGGUAUGUCCGGUGUUAUGUGCUCAUAGUAAUGUCUUACGUACUUCAGUAGGAUUUGUUGACAUGGUAUGUCCGGUGUUAUGUGCUCAUAGUAAUGUCUUACGUACUUCAGUAGGACUUGUUGACAUGGUAUGUCCGGUGUUAUGUGCUCAUAGUGAUGUCUUACGUACUUCAGUAGGACUUGUUGACAUGGUAUGUCCGGUGUUAUGUGCUCAUAGUGAUGUCUUACGUACUUCAGUAGGAUUUGUUGACAUGGUAUGUCCGGUGUUAUGUGCUCAUAGUGAUGUCUUACGUACUUCAGUAGGAUUUGUUGACAUGGUAUGUCCGGUGUUAUGUGCUCAUAGUAAUGUCUUACGUACUUCAGUAGGAUUUGUUGACAUGGUAUGUCCGGUGUUAUGUGCUCAUAGUAAUGUCUUACGUACUUCAGUAGGAUUUGUUGACAUGGUAUGUCCGGUGUUAUGUGCUCAUAGUAAUGUCUUACGUACUUCAGUAGGUUUUGUUGACAUGGUAUGUCCUGUGUUAUGUGCUCAUAGUAAUGUCUUACGUACUUCAGUAGGACUUGUUGACAUGGUAUGUCCGGUGUUAUGUGCUCAUAGUAAUGUCUUACGUACUUCAGUAGGAUUUGUUGACAUGGUAUGUCCGGUGUUAUGUGCUCAUAGUAAUGUCUUACGUACUUCAGUAGGAUUUGUUGACAUGGUAUGUCCGGUGUUAUGUGCUCAUAGUAAUGUCUUACGUACUUCAGUAGGAUUUGUUGACAUGGUAUGUCCGGUGUUAUGUGCUCAUAGUAAUGUCUUACGUACUUCAGUAGGAUUUGUUGACAUGGUAUGUCCGGUGUUAUGUGCUCAUAGUAAUGUCUUACGUACUUCAGUAGGAUUUGUUGACAUGGUAUGUCCGGUGUUAUGUGCUCAUAGUAAUGUCUUACGUACUUCAGUAGGAUUUGUUGACAUGGUAUGUCCGGUGUUAUGUGCUCAUAGUAAUGUCUUACGUACUUCAGUAGGAUUUGUUGACAUGGUAUGUCCGGUGUUAUGUGCUCAUAGUAAUGUCUUACGUACUUCAGUAGGAUUUGUUGACAUGGUAUGUCCGGUGUUAUGUGCUCAUAGUAAUGUCUUACGUACUUCAGUAGGAUUUGUUGACAUGGUAUGUCCGGUGUUAUGUGCUCAUAGUGAUGUCUUACGUACUUCAGUAGGAUUUGUUGACAUGGUAUGUCCGGUGUUAUGUGCUCAUAGUAAUGUCUUACGUACUUCAGUAGGAUUUGUUGACAUGGUAUGUCCGGUGUUAUGUGCUCAUAGUGAUGUCUUACGUACUUCAGUAGGAUUUGUUGACAUGGUAUGUCCGGUGUUAUGUGCUCAUAGUAAUGUCUUACGUACUUCAGUAGGAUUUGUUGACAUGGUAUGUCCGGUGUUAUGUGCUCAUAGUGAUGUCUUACGUACUUCAGCAGGAUUUGUUGACAUGGUAUGUCCGGUGUUAUGUGCUCAUAGUAAUGUCUUACGUACUUCAGUAGGAUUUGUUGACAUGGUAUGUCCGGUGUUAUGUGCUCAUAGUAAUGUCUUACGUACUUCAGUAGGAUUUGUUGACAUGGUAUGUCCGGUGUUAUGUGCUCAUAGUAAUGUCUUACGUACUUCAGUAGGAUUUGUUGACAUGGUAUGUCCGGUGUUAUGUGCUCAUAGUAAUGUCUUACGUACUUCAGUAGGAUUUGUUGACAUGGUAUGUCCGGUGUUAUGUGCUCAUAGUAAUGUCUUACGUACUUCAGUAGGAUUUGUUGACAUGGUAUGUCCGGUGUUAUGUGCUCAUAGUAAUGUCUUACGUACUUCAGUAGGACUUGUUGACAUGGUAUGUCCGGUGUUAAGUGCUCAUAGUAAUGUCUUCGCGUUGGGGCAAAACAUCACAACUCGUUGUUGUUGUGUAUUUUGCAUACUUCCCUCUACACAGCUGUAAGUUUUUUAAAGACGUGUGCUCUUUACUCAAGAAAAUAUGUUAUAAUAUGUUUUAGUCCUUAAGAGGGACUAUUUUACUGGCGGGAACCAUAAUAAAAAUAAAUGUUUUUAUGUUUAUUUAUUGCUUUGACCGGAGGUUUAUCUGUAGGGGCGGCCUAAUUCAUCAUGUUAAAACAGACAUCACUACAUAUUGAAAAACAAGGUCAAGUUUAAUUACUGGAUGGAUGGAUGGAUAUUUAAAAAACAUAAAAAUCUGACACAAUCUGAACAACUGAUUCUGAUUUGGUGUAGUAGAACCUAGAAUCUUCUGCAAUCACUCUGCAACCAGCAAAUGCUGACAUGAUGAGUUUUCUCCCUUCACAUGGCUGAAUUUUCAUUAGAAGCCUGGCAUGGUGGACGUUCAUUGGAGAACUCAUACAAAGUGAAAGUCAGUUCUUAGAAUUUGUUAUGUCACUAUUUUUAACCUCGAAGGAUGAAGCGUUAAAUCUACACACAAUUCUAUUUAAAGUGGUCCAUGUGACUUCAUGUUUUCACUGACAACUGAGUACUGAGAGGUGGCAUCUCACAUGGACCAUACAAUACCUGGACCGUGUUCUGUUGAGAUGCAACUGAGAGGUAUCUUACAUGGACCAUACAAUACCUGGACCGUGUUCUGUUGAGCUGCAACUGAGAGGCAUCUUACAUGGACCAUACAAUACCUGGACCGUGUUCUGUUGAGCUGCAACUGAGAGGUAUCUUACAUGGACCAUACAAUACCUGGACCAUGUUCUGUUGAGCUGCAACUGAGAGGUGGCAUCUUACAUGGACCAUACAAUACCUGGACCGUGUUCUGUUGAGCUGCAACUGAGAGGUAUCUUACAUGGACCAUACAAUACCUGGACCGUGUUCUGUUGAGCUGCAACUGAGAGGUGGCAUCUUACAUGGACCAUACAAUACCUGGACCGUGUUCUGUUGAGCUGCAACUGAGAGGUAUCUUACAUGGACCAUACAAUACCUGGACCGUGUUCUGUUGAGCUGCAACUGAGAGGUAUCUUACAUGGACCAUACAAUACCUGGACCGUGUUCUGUUGAGCUGCAACUGAGAGGUAUCUUACAUGGACCAUACAAUACCUGGACCGUGUUCUGUUGAGCUGCAACUGAGAGGUAUCUUACAUGGACCAUACAAUACCUGGACCGUGUUCUGUUGAGCUGCAACUGAGAGGCAUCUUACAUGGACCAUACAAUACCUGGACCGUGUUCUGUUGAGCUGCAACUGAGAGGUAUCUUACAUGGACCAUACAAUACCUGGACCGUGUUCUGUUGAGCUGCAACUGAGAGGUAUCUUACCUGGACCAUACAAUACCUGGACCGUGUUCUGUUGAGCUGCAAUUGAGAGGUAUCUUACAUGGACCAUACAAUACCUGGACCGUGUUCUGUUGAGCUGCAACUGAGAGGUGGCAUCUUACAUGGACCAUACAAUACCUGGACCGUGUUCUGUUGAGCUGCAACUGAGAGGUAUCUUACAUGGACCAUACAAUACCUUGACCGUGUUCUGUUGAGCUGCAACUGAGAGGUGGCAUCUUACAUGGACCAUACAAUACCUGGACCGUGUUCUGUUGAGCUGCAACUGAGAGGUAUCUUACCUGGACCAUACAAUACCUGGACCGUGUUCUGUUGAGCUGCAAUUGAGAGGUAUCUUACAUGGACCAUACAAUACCUGGACCGUGUUCUGUUGAGCUGCAACUGAGAGGUGGCAUCUUACAUGGACCAUACAAUACCUGGACCGUGUUCUGUUGAGCUGCAACUGAGAGGUAUCUUACAUGGACCAUACAAUACCUGGACCGUGUUCUGUUGAGCUGCAACUGAGAGGUGGCAUCUUACAUGGACCAUACAAUACCUGGACCGUGUUCUGUUGAGCUGCAACUAAGAGGUAUCUUACAUGGACCAUACAAUACCUGGACCGUGUUCUGUUGAGCUGCAACUGAGAGGUAUCUUACAUGGACCAUACAAUACCUGGACCAUGUUCUGUUGAGCUGCAACUGAGAGGUAUCUUACAUGGACCAUACAAUACCUGGACCGUGUUCUGUUGGGCUGCAACUGAGAGGUGGUAUCUAACAUGGACCAUACAAUACCUGGACCGUGUUCUGUUGGGCUGCAACUGAGAGGUGGUAUCUAACAUGGACCAUACAAUACCUGGACCGUGUUCUAUUUGGCUGCAACUGAGAGGUAUCUUACAUGGACCAUACAAUACCUGGACCGUGUUCUGUUGAGCUGCUACUGAGAAGUUCAGACAGGGAUGUUAAGGCUGAGGUUCUGAUUUGGUUAAGAUGUUGUUUAAAUUUUAACAAUACAUUUGAAAUUGUGACUAUUCAGAUUGAUUUCAUUAAUAAAGGCAGGGUGGAAAAGGUUUCAUGAGAACUGUUUAAAGUGCAUCACUUUGUCUUGCUACAAAAGGCCUCACUUUAUUUAAAUGUGAUUAUGUAUUGAUCCAGGUCAUGUGGAAUGACUCAUGGCACAGCCAUGUCUGAUGGUGCACAAAGAGCAAAUUUGCUAAACAAAACUAUGCAUCAUCACUAAGAAACCACUGGAGAUGAGUGCAGAUGUACUGAAGCACUUCCGGAGGUUUCAAAGGAACAAUAGCGUCAAAUGAUACUGACAAGAUUCCCACUGAGGUGAUCUGCUUCACAUGUGUUCUGGUGUGAAGAGGGAGAGACCACCACAAGCUUGUUUGGCUGGAGAAACUGAAGACUGAGGAAACCCUUCUGGAAGAACUCAAGAGCCUGUCUGUCAGAUGACCUUCUGUCUAGGUCAAGGUUAGGAACAUUGUGGCAUUGCUCAGAGAACUAAGAUGAUAAACAAGAGGACACUUUCUGGAAGGCCAAUUGCUUGUUGCAGUCUGUUGCCUUUAUCUUAUAUCUAUGUAUGUUGCAGUGUUUGUUUACUCAGAGAUUGUGUAGGAACUGCUCUGAUAUUCAGCUGAAAGACCAAGAAAUAAAUUAAGUUGUCUCUUUAUAUCUCUUUGUAUCUCACAUAGGAGGGUUUUUUUGUUUGAACUAUAAGAAUUGAGAUAGAUACAAUUCAGUUGCUAGCAUCAGGUAUUUAUUGGAUCAUCACAAGCAUUCUCCAGAUGACUGUCUCAGCAGUAUGGGUCUGAGUGGUCUAAAAAAAAUUUUCUAACACUUUCUCUCACGAGAACAAACCACAUUUUUCACCAGCUGAAAGCUAAGAAAUGCUCAAAUAAGGCUAUGAAACCAGAACAUGGUAAUGAUCAAAUAAAGACACAGACAGUUUUGAUUGGUCUUUCCAAUGAUUUCAUCUAAUCACUGACAAUUUCAUCAUAUCUAAGAAGUUAAUCACUUACACUGUAACAGAUCAGUAUGGUAAUGGUACCCUUGAUGUUUAGAUUACCAGCUGCGUGAUUGAGUAUGUAUAUUAACAAGUUUUACAUGGGAUACAAAUUGUGUUAGCCAGAUCAGAAGUUCAGUUCAAGUCCAGACAAGUGUCAUGAGCCACAACAGACAUAUUGACCAUUUCAUAAACCAGUUGGCAUUUGGCUGUUGUUUGGUGGCUAUCAAGAUUCCUGGAGUCCAUUGUGUGAAAUAUAGAGUCUCGAUUGGUCGGAUGUUGUAGAGCUGCUUGCUUUUGAGUAAUUUGAGGUUUUCUGUUGCAGCAUCACAGAGGUAUGCCAAGAAAUGAAUAUGAGACCAUCAUAUUUUAUGAAAAAAUCAGAAGUAGGAAUAAGAACUCAUUUUUUUAUGGAGUUAUUGUUUGCUGUUUAUUGCCAGACCUAUUUUGCCCUUGUAAACAAAAAAAUAAAACCAAAAACUCUUGUUUGAGUGAAAAUGUGUUCAACAACUUUUGCUUUGUGUUUUUGUUAAUCUCUUAUUUGAAGACUACAUGUAGGAGUGUAAGCUGACCAGAUAUUAUUGUUUGUUUUCUCCUGCCUCUCGGUUUUUUGAUCCAGAAAAUCGGUGAAGCAAGGCAGUCAGUUUGUUUAGCCCAAAUCAUUAUUUACAUUCGUAUUCUCUUGCAGAUGAAAAGGGGAUGAAAACAAUACAGCUGGCAGGUUAUAUUGCCAAGUUUCUCAGAGAAUAGUUUGUUAGUGUGAAGGAUUUAUCUGAGCUGAUUAUGGGAGGAAUAGCAGACAGACUGUAUCUGCAGACAUUUCUGUUUUGUAUUUAUUUGUCAUGCUCUGUACCAUAAUGUACAUAAACCAGUUGAGAUAAA
RNA transcript from Haliotis rufescens (red abalone), 6797 nucleotides. It is a transcript of the gene named eukaryotic translation initiation factor 2A-like, with no coding region annotated. The record is from RefSeq and is a predicted model, not a curated record. The transcript has 2 exons. Lineage: Eukaryota; Metazoa; Mollusca; Gastropoda; Lepetellida; Haliotidae.